ACGAACGCUGGCGGCGUGCUUAACACCUGCAAGUCGAACGGAAAGGCCCUGCUUUUGUGGGGUGCUCGAGUGGCGAACGGGUGAGUAACACGUGAGUAACCUGCCCUUGACUUUGGGAUAACUUCAGGAAACUGGGGCUAAUACCGGAUAGGAGCUCCUGCUGCAUGGUGGGGGUUGGAAAGUUUCGGCGGUUGGGGAUGGACUCGCGGCUUAUCAGCUUGUUGGUGGGGUAGUGGCUUACCAAGGCUUUGACGGGUAGCCGGCCUGAGAGGGUGACCGGCCACCAUGGGACUGAGAUACGGCCCAGACUCCUACGGGAGGCAGCAGUGGGGAAUAUUGCACAAUGGGCGGAAGCCUGAUGCAGCAACGCCGCGUGCGGGAUGACGGCCUUCGGGUUGUAAACCGCUUUCGCAGGUGACGAAGCGUGAGUGACGGUAAUGGGUAAAGAAGCACCGGCUAACUACGUG
This 467-nucleotide ribosomal RNA is filed under the name uncultured bacterium. Its description in RNAcentral is "partial 16S ribosomal RNA". It matches the Rfam family "Bacterial small subunit ribosomal RNA", at positions 29 to 507 of the family's 1533-position model. The record is from RNAcentral.